GGGGAAUUUGAAUUCCUCCACUGAAUGUCUGAAGUUCUGUACUAUGUACGGGCGUUUGGACGCAGGCCCUCGCAAGCACUGCACACUGCCUACAAGGAGAUGAUCUGAUCAUGCUCAUGAAUACACAUGGCAACUGCAGAUGUCAUUCCUGGAAAAGCCUGAAGAGUGUGUUUGUACAGAACAGUGACUCUUAACAGCACACAUGGUGACAUCCUCAGGACUCCCCUAGAAGAAAGAAUUUAGGAGUUAGUGGAAGACAUUUGAGAAAAGGUCAAUGAAAAAAUAUGCAAAGGAAAAAAAAGGAAAUACAAAUUUUCAUAAUUUCUAACUUGUUUAUAUAAAUUUGUCAGUGACUAUUUGUACUUUUUAUAAAUAUACAGUUGUGUGUAAUUUAAAAGGAUCUGUCAUGUUUACAAACUCC
Long non-coding RNA from Castor canadensis (American beaver), 421 nucleotides. RefSeq lists it as uncharacterized. The record is from RefSeq and is a predicted model, not a curated record. NCBI's taxonomy places the organism in Eukaryota, Metazoa, Chordata, Mammalia, Rodentia, Castoridae.